UGGGGAAUAUUGGACAAUGGGCGAAAGCCUGAUCCAGCCAUGCCGCGUGUGUGAAGAAGGUCUUCGGAUUGUAAAGCACUUUAAGUUGGGAGGAAGGGCAGUAAGCGAAUACCUUGCUGUUUUGACGUUACCGACAGAAUAAGCACCGGCUAACUCUGUGCCAGCAGCCGCAGUAAUACAGAGGGUGCAAGCGUUAAUCGGAAUUACUGGGCGUAAAGCGCGCGUAGGUGGUUCGUUAAGUUGAAUGUGAAAGCCCCGGGCUCGACCUGGGAAUUGCAUCCAAAACUGGCUAGCUAGAGUAGGGCAGAGGGUGGUGGAAUUUCCUGUGUAGCGGUGAAAUGCGUUGAUAUAGGAAGGAACACCAGUGGCGAAGGCGACCACCUGGGCUCAUACUGACACUGAGGUGCGAAAACGUGGGGAGCAAACAGG
This 429-nucleotide ribosomal RNA is filed under the name Pseudomonadota bacterium. Its description in RNAcentral is "Proteobacteria bacterium partial 16S ribosomal RNA". It matches the Rfam family "Bacterial small subunit ribosomal RNA", at positions 355 to 776 of the family's 1533-position model. The record is from RNAcentral. Lineage: Bacteria; Pseudomonadati; Pseudomonadota.